CUCAGGGAGGUAGUGACAAGAAAUAACAACACUGGAAAUUUUAUUUCUAGUGAUUGGAAUGAUGGGAAUUUAAACCCCUUUCAGAGUAACAAUUGGAGGGCAAGUCUGGUGCCAGCAGCCGCGGUAAUUCCAGCUCCAAUAGCGUAUAUUAAAGUUGUUGCAGUUAAAAAGCUCGUAGUUGGAUGUCUGCUGGAAGCAAUCAGCCCGCCCUAUUUGUGGGGUGUGCAUUUGAUGAAUUCUGGCAUUUUUGUCCCAAUAUUAUGAUGUAGAAUGUGGGACACAGAGUGUUAUUGGGCGAAAGUUCAAUAGCAUGUCUGUGUUCCGAUUCUUAUUAUAUUGGGAUACUGUUACUUUGAGAAAAUUAGAGUGUUUGAAGCAGGCUUUGAAUUGCCUUGAAUACUGCAGCAUGGAAUAACAAUAUAGGAUUUCGGUUCUAUUUUGUUGGUUUCUAGGACUGAAAUAAUGAUUAAUAGGGACAGUUGGGGGCAUUCGUAUUUAACUGCCAGAGGUGAAAUUCUUAGAUUUGUUAAAGACGAACUACUGCGAAAGCAUUUGCCAAAGAUGUUUUCAUUAAUCAAGAACGAAAGUUAGGGGCUCGAAGACGAUCAGAUACCGUCGUAGUCUUAACCAUAAACUAUGCCGACUAGAGAUAGGAAAAUAUCAUUUUGCUGACUU
RNAcentral lists this ribosomal RNA (675 nucleotides) under Sarcocystis gracilis. RNAcentral describes it as "SSU rRNA". It matches the Rfam family "Eukaryotic small subunit ribosomal RNA", at positions 455 to 1077 of the family's 1831-position model. The record is from RNAcentral. Lineage: Eukaryota; Apicomplexa; Conoidasida; Eucoccidiorida; Sarcocystidae.